AUACGUAGGGAGCGAGCGUUGUCCGGAAUUACUGGGUGUAAAGGGAGCGUAGGCGGGAUCGCAAGUCAGAUGUGAAAUACAUGGGCUUAACCCAUGGGCUGCAUUUGAAACUGUGGUUCUUGAGUGAAGUAGAGGUAAGCGGAAUUCCUGGUGUAGCGGUGAAAUGCGUAGAUAUCAGGAGGAACACCGGUGGCGAAGGCGGCUUACUGGGCUUUUACUGACGCUGAGGCUCGAAAGCGUGGGGAGCAAACAGGAUUAGAUACCCUGGUAGUCCACGCUGUAAACGAUGAUUACUAGGUGUGGGGGGACUGACCCCUUCCGUGCCGCAGUUAACACAAUAAGUAUUCCACCUGGGGAGUACGAUCGCAAGAUUGAAACUCAAAGGAAUUGGCGGGG
RNAcentral lists this ribosomal RNA (396 nucleotides) under uncultured bacterium. RNAcentral's name for it is "partial 16S ribosomal RNA". It matches the Rfam family "Bacterial small subunit ribosomal RNA", at positions 523 to 918 of the family's 1533-position model. The record is from RNAcentral.